Molecule: ribosomal RNA, 459 nt
Filed under: uncultured bacterium
Lineage: Bacteria
Description: partial 16S ribosomal RNA
Rfam family: Bacterial small subunit ribosomal RNA
Source: RNAcentral
CCUACGGGUGGCUGCAGUGAGGAAUAUUGGUCAAUGGGCGGAAGCCUGAACCAGCCAAGUCGCGUGCGGGAUGAAGGCCCUACGGGUCGUAAACCGCUUUUGCACGGGGACAACACCCUCCACGCGUCGAGGUCUGCAGGUACCGUGCGAAUAAGCGCCGGCUAACUCCGUGCCAGCAGCCGCGGUAAUACGGAGGGCGCGAGCGUUAUCCGGAUUUAUUGGGCUUAAAGGGAGCGUAGGCGGGCGCUCAAGUCAGCUGUAAAAUCGCGCGGCUCAACCGCGCCCCGCAGUUGAAACUGGACGUCUUGAGUGCACGACAGGCAGGCGGAAUUCGUGGUGUAGCGGUGAAAUGCAUAGAUAUCACGAGGAACCCCGAUUGCGAAGGCAGCCUGCCGGGGUGCAACUGACGCUGAGGCUCGAAGGUGCGGGUAUCAAACAGGAUUAGAUACCCUAGUAGUC